RNAcentral lists this ribosomal RNA (609 nucleotides) under uncultured bacterium. RNAcentral's name for it is "bacterial SSU rRNA". The stretch from base 1 to 535 matches the Rfam family "Bacterial small subunit ribosomal RNA", at positions 338 to 873 of the family's 1533-position model. The record is from RNAcentral.
CCUACGGGAGGCAGCAGUAAGGAAUAUUGGACAAUGCUCGCAAGAGUGAUCCAGCCAUGCCGCGUGCAGGAAGAAUGCCCUAUGGGUAGUAAACUGCUUUUGAACUAGAGAAAACCCCAGUACGUGUACUGGGCUGAUAGUAUAGUUAGAAUAAGCAUCGGCUAACUUCGUGCCAGCAGCCGCGGUAAGACGAAGGAUGCAAGCGUUAUCCGGAUUCAUUGGGUUUAAAGGGAGCGUAGGUGGACUUAUAAGUCAGUGGUGAAAUCUCCGAGCUUAACUCGGAAAUUGCCAUUGAUACUGUAGGUCUUGAGUACAGUUGCUGUGGGCGGAAUAUGACAUGUAGUGGUGAAAUACAUAGAGAUGUCAUAGAACACCGAUUGCGAAGGCAGCUCACAAAGCUGUAACUGACACUGAGGCUCGAAAGUGCGGGGAUCAAACAGGAUUAGAUACCCUGGUAGUCCGCACCGUAAACGAUGAUUACUCGCUGCUAGGGGGCACCUUAGUGGCUUAGCGAAAGAGAAGUAGUAAUUACACGUGGAGUUAGCGGCGACGGAGAACGUUAAGAAGUUAGAGGCGNGAGAGNGCGACGGACGACGACGAGGAGGUAGG